GAUGAACGCUAGCGGCAGGCUUAACACAUGCAAGUCGAGGGGCAGCGAGGGUAGCAAUACCUGUCGGCGACCGGCGGAAGGGUGAGUAACGCGUGAGCAACAUACCCGUAUCAGUGGGAUAAUACAGGGAAACUUGUUCUAAUAUCGCAUAAUAUUAUUCAGAGGCAUCUUUGUAUAAUUAAAGUUAUGGCGGAUACGGAAUGGCUCGCGUGACAUUAGCUAGAUGGUAGGGUAAUGGCCUACCAUGGCGAUGAUGUCUAGGGGUUCUGAGAGGGAGGUCCCCCACACUGGAACUGAGACACGGUCCAGACUCCUACGGGAGGCAGCAGUGAGGAAUAUUGGACAAUGGAUGGAAAUCUGAUCCAGCCAUGCCGCGUGCAGGAAGGCGGCCCUAUGGGUUAGUAAACUGUCUUUUGUACGGGAGCAAUAAGGUCUACGAGUAGAUUGAUGAGAGUACUGUACGAAUAGCAUCGGCUAACUCCG
Molecule: ribosomal RNA, 483 nt
Filed under: uncultured bacterium
Lineage: Bacteria
Description: bacterial SSU rRNA
Rfam family: Bacterial small subunit ribosomal RNA
Source: RNAcentral